UGCUAAGACUGGAUAGGAGACAAGAAGGCAUCUUCUUGUUUUUAAAAGACCUAGCAAUAGGUAUGCUUAGGGAGGAGCUUGCGUCACAUUAGUUAGUUGGUGGGGUAAAGGCCUACCAAGACUAAGAUGUGUAGCCGGGCUGAGAGGUUGAACGGCCACAUUGGGACUGAGACACGGCCCAAACUCCUACGGGAGGCAGCAGUAGGGAAUUUUCGGCAAUGGAGGAAACUCUGACCGAGCAACGCCGCGUGAACGAUGAAGUAUUUCGGUACGUAAAGUUCUUUUAUUAGGGAAGAAUAAAUGAUGGAAAAAUCAUUCUGACGGUACCUAAUGAAUAAGCCCCGGCUAACUAUGUGCCAGCAGCCGCGGUAAUACAUAGGGGGCAAGCGUUAUCCGGAAUUAUUGGGCGUAAAGGGUGCGUAGGCGGUUAAAUAAGUUUAUGGUCUAAGUGCAAUGCUCAACAUUGUGAUGCUAUAAAAACUGUUUAGCUAGAGUAAGAUAGAGGCAAGUGGAAUUCCAUGUGUAGUGGUAAAAUGCGUAAAUAUAUGGAGGAACACCAGUAGCGAAGGCGGCUUGCUGGGUCUUUACUGACGCUGAGGCACGAAAGCGUGGGGAGCAAACAGGAUUAGAUACCCUGGUAGUCCACGCCGUAAACGAUGAGUACUAAACGUUGGGUAAAACCAGUGUUGAAGUUAACACAUUAAGUACUCCGCCUGAGUAGUACGUACGCAAGUAUGAAACUUAAAGGAAUUGACGGGACUCCGCACAAGCGGUGGAUCAUGUUGUUUAAUUCGAAGGUACCCGAAAAACCUCACCAGGUCUUGACAUGCUUCUGCAAAGCUGUAGAAACACAGUGGAGGUUAUCAGUUGCACAGGUGGUGCAUGGUUGUCGUCAGCUCGUGUCGUGAGAUGUUGGGUUAAGUCCCGCAACGAGCGCAACCCUUAUUGUUAGUUACCAGCACGUAAUGGUGGGGACUUUAGCAAGACUGCCAGUGAUAAAUUGGAGGAAGGUGGGGACGACGUCAAAUCAUCAUGCCCCUUAUGACCUGGGCUACAAACGUGAUACAAUGGCUGUUACAAAGGGUAGCUGAAGCGCAAGUUUUUGGCGAAUCUCAAAAAAACAGUCUCAGUUCGGAUUGAAGUCUGCAACUCGACUUCAUGAAGUUGGAAUCGCUAGUAAUCGCGAAUCAGCAUGUCGCGGUGAAUACGUUCUCGGGGUUUGUACACA
This 1228-nucleotide ribosomal RNA is filed under the name Bitter gourd little leaf phytoplasma. RNAcentral's name for it is "bacterial SSU rRNA". It matches the Rfam family "Bacterial small subunit ribosomal RNA", at positions 161 to 1389 of the family's 1533-position model. The record is from RNAcentral. Lineage: Bacteria; Bacillati; Mycoplasmatota; Mollicutes; Acholeplasmatales; Acholeplasmataceae.